This 175-nucleotide ribosomal RNA is filed under the name uncultured Beggiatoa sp. Its description in RNAcentral is "partial 16S ribosomal RNA". It matches the Rfam family "Bacterial small subunit ribosomal RNA", at positions 1138 to 1314 of the family's 1533-position model. Lineage: Bacteria; Pseudomonadati; Pseudomonadota; Gammaproteobacteria; Thiotrichales; Thiotrichaceae. The record is from RNAcentral.
CUCUAAGGAGACUGCCGGUGACAAACCGGAGGAAGGUGGGGAUGACGUCAAGUCAUCAUGGCCCUUACGACCAGGGCUACCACGUGCUACAAUGGUAAGAACAACGGGAAGCAAAACUGCGAAGUCAAGCCAAUCCCUAAAACUUAUCGUAGUCCGGAUUGGAGUCUGCAACUCG